This is a long non-coding RNA of Lathyrus oleraceus (garden pea), 1464 nucleotides long. RefSeq lists it as uncharacterized. NCBI's taxonomy places the organism in Eukaryota, Viridiplantae, Streptophyta, Magnoliopsida, Fabales, Fabaceae. The transcript has 2 exons. The record is from RefSeq and is a predicted model, not a curated record.
CUGUGAACAACACCAAGAAUCCAUUGACUACGAGCAGUGGAACUCCGUAAACAUACACAACCCAGGCAAGACUUUUGGCCAAUGCAAGAUGAUAAAGCCCAAAGCAUACUGCAAGUAUUGCCGUAUCUGAUACAUAAAUUUGAAGGCGUUCACGAUCUGAGUAAAUGGGACCAUGUGGUUUAAAGUGGUCCACCUAGAUGCUUCUGAUACCACUGUGUAGCCACUCGAAUAGCUCUACCAUUCUUGUCACUUUUAGUUUCCCUGCUCAUUUCCUUAACAUAUGUAUCCCUGUGGUACUCAUUGGAAAAAACAAAGAAUUUCCUAUUUGAAUUGCUACAAAUAGCUCUUAGCCGGUUAUAAACAGACAUAUUCUUGUUCUUAACCUCUUCCAACACAAUGGACAGUACAACAACAUCAUCAAUGGCCGAAUUUUCCAGCAAAUCAAUCUUGAAAUUGGAAGGAAAAAUGUUACUCCAACGAGUUUGAAAACGAAUAAGAAUGUCUUGUUCGCAUUCACCGUCGACGACGGUGGCCCAGCAACGGACUAGGAGAAUGGUGAUGGCACGAGCAGCUGGAUUUUCACAAACCAAGAUCAAACUUUUUCACUUGGAUACUUUUGGAGGGAUCUUUUGUGUGGCCAGCAAUUGUCAGAAGCUUAUUUCCCCAUGCAAUAAGCCAAAGAAUGGCCAGCACAAGGGUCCAAGGUUGUAGAGGGUUCGUCUCCAGUUUUAGCCUCGAGCUUUGACCAAGUCCAUCUUCUCAAAUCCAAAACUGUUGGAUAAGCGUUGUCCACAGUAAUUUCCCAUAUUUUCCCUUCUUGUCCUGCUCCAAGUUCAGGCUUCGAAUCUCGAGUGGCAUUUGUAGCAUUUGGUACAGCAGAAACACUGUCUGGUAUGGAAUUUUCAUUUAUUUUGGAUUGCAAGGUGGAUUUGUGGCUUGGUUUAAGAACAUAUACUUCAUUGUUGUAACGUCUAUUGUAUCCUCCAAAAGAUAGAAGUACAUCUUCUCCAUCAUUCGAACUUACAACCGAACUCAUACCCUCACUAGCAACAAAAACACGCCCUUGAACAGAUGUUACUGCUGACCAAGCCAGUGUAGACAUGUUCAGUACAACCGUCUUUGAAGAUGAGCAAGUAUCGCUCCACAUGUACAGCAGCAGCAUGAUCAGACUUUGGGGAAGGAGGCACUCCAACAUCAUCAAUUUUGUCCCAAGUCAUAGUUUCCGAGUCUAGAAUAUGCAGGUCAUUCAAGAGAGCCCUUUUUGCAUCUUAGAAACUUCAUGUAUUCAUGUGAUGAGAUGUUUUUUUGAUUAUAAGUUAUUCAUAUGCCAUGUACAUGGAUGAUUAUGAUUGAAUGAAUGAACGAAGUAAUCGAACCAUGAAUGAGUAUGUGGAAAUUCUUGAAUAUGAAUGAAAAAAUUUCCAAUGUAAUGAAGAAAUAUGAAUGAAAAUUUUGAAUGUGAAA